RNAcentral lists this ribosomal RNA (477 nucleotides) under uncultured bacterium. RNAcentral's name for it is "bacterial SSU rRNA". It matches the Rfam family "Bacterial small subunit ribosomal RNA", at positions 107 to 598 of the family's 1533-position model. The record is from RNAcentral.
UGAGUAACGCGUGGAUAACCUACCUCAAGGUCUGGGAUAACAGCUCGAAAGGGCUGCUAAUACCGGAUGUGGUGCAUAUGCUGCAUGGUAGAUGCACUAAAGGGGAAACCCGCCAUGAGAUGGGUCCGCGUCCCAUCAGCUAGUUGGUGGGGUAAAGGCCUACCAAGGCGACGACGGGUAGCCGGCCUGAGAGGGUGACCGGCCACACUGGGACUGAGACACGGCCCAGACUCCUACGGGGGGCAGCAGUGGGGAAUAUUGCACAAUGGGCGAAAGCCUGAUGCAGCGACGCCGCGUGGGCGAAGAAGGCCUUCGGGUUGUAAAGCCCUGUCUGGGGGGACGAAGUAAUGACGGUACCUCCGGAGGAAGCCACGGCUAACUACGUGCCAGCAGCCGCGGUAAUACGUAGGUGGCGAGCGUUGUCCGGAAUUACUGGGCGUAAAGGGCGUGCAGGCGGCCACUUAAGUCGGGCGUGAA